GUUCUUCUGAAAACGGUUGUCUGUAGGCAC
RNAcentral lists this unclassified non-coding RNA (30 nucleotides) under Dictyostelium discoideum. Lineage: Eukaryota; Evosea; Eumycetozoa; Dictyosteliales; Dictyosteliaceae. The record is from RNAcentral.